AAUUAUUAUUUAAUCCAUUGUGUCUCAAUUGAAUAAUUUCUUUUUUCGAAUUCAUAAAUUAUAUCCAAAAAACAAAAUCUACAAAUCAUACAAAUUAAAGUACUACAAAUGAAGCGUUCAAGAUUGCUCAGUCUCUCUUUCAAAUUGUUCAAUCACAAAUCACAAAGCAUUUAAACUUGCAGUUGCAUGAGAGAGCUUUAGGAAUUGCAUCAGCAAUGCAUGUCAUUUUUUGAGAAUGAAGAAGAAUAACAAAAGUGUUGGGCUUGGGUUCCCCCCUCUAUGGAGAACCCACAUUUUUGUUGAAGCCCACAUAUUUUGGCCCAUUAGGGCUAGUAAUAUAUUUGUCUUCUGCUACACUUUUACACAACCAUAAUUCUCAUUUUUUAUUGCCCAAAACACUAGAAAGAAUGAGAGAAAAACAAAGAGCAAAGUGUAGAAUUUUCCAAGGUGGAUAAAAAUGCCUUUCUGAGCUUUGGGAGCUUGUUUACUGUUGGA
Molecule: unclassified non-coding RNA, 495 nt
Filed under: Hevea brasiliensis (rubber tree)
Lineage: Eukaryota; Viridiplantae; Streptophyta; Magnoliopsida; Malpighiales; Euphorbiaceae
Source: RNAcentral